This 496-nucleotide ribosomal RNA is filed under the name uncultured bacterium. RNAcentral's name for it is "partial 16S ribosomal RNA". It matches the Rfam family "Bacterial small subunit ribosomal RNA", at positions 29 to 507 of the family's 1533-position model. The record is from RNAcentral.
AUGAACGCUGGCGGCGUGCCUAAUGCAUGCAAGUCGAGCGAACGGACGAGAAGCUUGCUUCUCUGAUGUUAGCGGCGGACGGGUGAGUAACACGUGGAUAACCUACCUAUAAGACUGGGAUAACUUCGGGAAACUGGAGCUAAUACCGGAUAAUAUUUUGAACCGCAUGGUUCAAAAGUGAAAGACGGUCUUGCUGUCACUUAUAGAUGGAUCCGCGCUGCAUUAGCUAGUUGGUAAGGUAACGGCUUACCAAGGCAACGAUGCAUAGCCGACCUGAGAGGGUGAUCGGCCACACUGGAACUGAGACACGGUCCAGACUCCUACGGGAGGCAGCAGUAGGGAAUCUUCCGCAAUGGGCGAAAGCCUGACGGAGCAACGCCGCGUGAGUGAUGAAGGUCUUCGGAUCGUAAAACUCUGUUAUUAGGGAAGAACAUAUGUGUAAGUAACUGUGCACAUCUUGACGGUACCUAAUCAGAAAGCCACGGCUAACUACGUG